AAUGAUGAAUCUUCAUCUCAGAAAAUCCCAGAACCUCUCACUUAAAAAUAAACCAAAAACAUCUUCAACACCUUAAAAUGCCAUGUCAACCCUCUGUGAGGCAACUUGUGCUGAUGUCUCUCAGGUAUCCCACUCAAUUGGGACUGACUCAAGAAUUGGACCCAUGUUCUUGAAUUUCAGUGUUGGCUUUGGUGGAUCCUGCUUCCAGAAGAACAUUUUGCUUAUCUGUGUAACAAAGUUGCUGAGAACAAAUAAGCGAAAAUGGUGAAGAUUUGCUGCAUUGGAGCUGGGUAUGUCGGCGGCUCAACCAUGGUUGUGAUGGCUUUGAAGGGUCAUGAUAAAGGAAAUGAAGAUUUAUCAUUGUUACUGGGUUUCUGGUUUUUAUUAAUUAAAUUUGUGGAAAAUUCCAGAUCAAUGACUAAAUUGAAGCAUUUCAAACUUUCUCAA
Lotus japonicus is the source of this 447-nucleotide long non-coding RNA. RefSeq lists it as uncharacterized. The record is from RefSeq and is a predicted model, not a curated record. Lineage: Eukaryota; Viridiplantae; Streptophyta; Magnoliopsida; Fabales; Fabaceae. The transcript is spliced from 2 exons.